RNAcentral lists this ribosomal RNA (459 nucleotides) under uncultured bacterium. RNAcentral describes it as "partial 16S ribosomal RNA". It matches the Rfam family "Bacterial small subunit ribosomal RNA", at positions 338 to 795 of the family's 1533-position model. The record is from RNAcentral.
CCUACGGGUGGCAGCAGUGAGGAAUAUUGGUCAAUGGCCGGAAGGCUGAACCAGCCAAGCCGCGUGAGGGACGACUGCCCUAUGUGUUGUAAACCUCUUUUAUAAGGGAAGAAUAACUGCUACGUGUAGCCUGAUGCAUGUACCUUAUGAAUAAGCAUCGGCUAACUCCGUGCCAGCAGCCGCGGUAAUACGGAGGAUGCGAGCGUUAUCCGGAUUUAUUGGGUUUAAAGGGUGCGUAGGCGGUUUGUUAAGUUAGUGGUUAAACGUCGGGGCUUAACCCUGAUUUGCCAUUAAUACUGUAAGACUCGAGUUGAGGUGAGGUAGGCGGAAUGAGUGGAGUAGCGGUGAAAUGCUUAGAUAUCACACAGAACUCCGAUAGCGAAGGCAGCUUACCAGACUGAGACUGACGCUGAGGCACGAAAGCGUGGGUAGCGAACAGGAUUAGAUACCCCUGUAGUC